UUAGAUUAGAAUAUUAUUAGAUCUAUUAAGAAUUUAAUAAUAUGAUAUUUCUUUAUAUAAUUUAGUUUUAUAAAAUUCAAUUUAACUUUCUUCUACGAUUUUUAAUUCUUAAUUUUUAUUUUAUUUUAUUUAAAAAAUAUUUGUAACGCAUAGUUAACUUGAUAUUAGAUUAAUCGAGGCCAUAGAAACAGGCUACUGCCUCAACCUUCACCACAGAGGGAAGGGGACAAGGAUAUAUACACGUCAACUGCAGGCAUAUUUUUUUACCUUUAAAUGUAAAAAUGUAUAGAUAUCCCUUCAACUAUAAGCAAUUAUGAAAUAGCAUCCUCAACUUUUUAUUAUUUUAUUCUUUUAGUAAAAAUGCAUGGGGAGAUCUUACCCCAUUUCUAAAUAGGCCUCUCUAAUGUUUUUAUUUUUUUGCUGAGAUUCUCAACUUUUAUUAUUUUUUAAAUUUAAAUUUUAUAUUUACUUAUAUUAAAAAUUUAUCAAAUUUAAUAACUUUAUAUAAUUAUUAAUUAUUAAUUAGUCAAGGGCUUCUAAUAUAAAAAUACUAUUUAUUUAGUUGUGAAAAAAAUAUUAUUUAUUUAAUUAUUAUAUAAAUUUAAUAUUAUUUAAUAUAUAUACAUAAAUUUUUAAUUUAAUGUUAAAAUAAUUUAAUAUAUUUUUUAUUUAACAUGCAAAUUAAUACGUGCAGCGCACGUGCAUUAACUAGUAUAUAUAGAUGCAGAUUGUGAGGACAGUGUGUCUGCAAGUUUGUUGGCAGAUCUACUAAUGUUUUCAUGGACCUCAGAAGGUUGUUGAUAAGUUAACGCUGCAUGUUGUAAUUAUUAAUCGAUCUAACCUAAGGGGGUGUUCUUUUAAAAAACUUUUUUGGGCUAUAAAGUGAUUUUCGGCUCAAUAGAGCGUUUGGCAACUCAUUUUUAAAAUCUGAUUCUGCUUUUUAGAAUCAGAAAAUUAAUUUUGAAGGCCCCAGAAUCAGAAACAAAAAAAAGCUACUUCUUGAAAUCUGAUUCUGAUUUUAGAUUUAAACUUCAAAUUUUUAUUUUUAUUUUAUUUUCAAUAUUUAAAUUUAAUUUUGAUUUUAAAUUUUAAUUUUCAGAUUUAUUUUUGAAUUUUUAAAUUUUAACUUUUAAAUUUUAAAUUUGGAAAAAUAGAUUUCAAACUUUAAAUUUUAAAUUUUAAUUUUAAAUUUCAAAUUCAAAUUUUAAAUUUCAAAUUUAAAUUUUAAAAUUUUAAAUUUCAAAUUUCAAAUUUCUUUUAGAUUUCAAACUUCAAAUUUUAAAUUUAAAUUUCAAAUUUCAAAUUUCAAAUUUCAAUUUUCAAUUUUUAAAUUUCUUUUAGAUUUUAAAAUUUAAAAUUUUUAAAUUUUAAAUUAUAAAUUUUAAUCUUCAAAUUAUAAAUUAAAAUUUAAAAUUUAAAAUUUUAAAAUAUAGAUUUUAAAUAUUCAAAAUUUAAAUUUUAAAUUUUAAAUAUUCAAAUUUUAAAUUUCAUAAUUAUUUUAAAUUUUAAAUUUUAAAUUUUAAUUUUAAAAUUUAAAUUUUGAAAUUUAAAAUUUAAAUAUAUUUUUAAAUAUUAAUAUUUUAUAUUUUAAAUUUCAUAAUUAUUUAUAUUUUUACAUUUAAAUUUUAAAUUUCAAAUUUUAAAUUUACAUUUUAAAUUUUAAAUUUUAAAUUCUAAAUUUAAAGUUUGAAAUUUUAAUUUUAAUUUAAAUUUUUAUAUAUUAAAAUUUUAUAUUUUAAAAUUCAUAAUUAUAUAUAUUUUUAAAUUUAAAUUUAUAUUUUUAAAUUUUAAAUUUCAUAAUUAUUUUAAAUUUUAAAUUUUUAAAAUUUUAAAUUAUUUUUUAAAUUAAAAUAUCAAAAUUUAAAUUUCGUACAAUUUUGAAAUUUAAAAAUUUUAAUUUUGAUUCAAAUUUAAAUUUACAUUUUAAAUUAUUUUAAAAUAAAAUUUAAUAAAAAUAUUAAUUUAUGCAAACAUCAAAAAAAAUUUACCAAACAACUUUUUAAAAUCACUUCAGAAAA
RNAcentral lists this long non-coding RNA (2018 nucleotides) under Ananas comosus (pineapple). RNAcentral's name for it is "long non-coding RNA (ACOM_LNC016454)". The record is from RNAcentral. Lineage: Eukaryota; Viridiplantae; Streptophyta; Magnoliopsida; Poales; Bromeliaceae.